AUAAUGAUACUUCCGUCUAUUCUUUGAAGGGGCGGCUCGGAGCGAUCCUCGGAGGGGUGAGAGUCCCAUGA
RNAcentral lists this non-coding RNA (71 nucleotides) under unclassified sequences. RNAcentral's name for it is "pemK RNA". It matches the Rfam family "pemK RNA". The record is from RNAcentral. RNAcentral also lists the same sequence under 1 other name.